This 450-nucleotide ribosomal RNA is filed under the name uncultured bacterium. RNAcentral describes it as "bacterial SSU rRNA". It matches the Rfam family "Bacterial small subunit ribosomal RNA", at positions 29 to 524 of the family's 1533-position model. The record is from RNAcentral.
AACGAACGCUGGCGGCAUGCCUAACACAUGCAAGUCGAACGAAGUCUUCGGACUUAGUGGCGCACGGGUGCGUAACGCGUGGGAAUCUGCCCUUGGGUGCGGAAUAACUUCUCGAAAGGGAUGCUAAUACCGCAUAAUGUCGUAAGACCAAAGAUUUAUCGCCCAAGGAUGAGCCCGCGUAAGAUUAGCUAGUUGGUGGGGUAAAAGCCUACCAAGGCGACGAUCUUUAGCUGGUCUGAGAGGAUGAUCAGCCACACUGGGACUGAGACACGGCCCAGACUCCUACGGGAGGCAGCAGUGGGGAAUAUUGGACAAUGGGCGAAAGCCUGAUCCAGCAAUGCCGCGUGAGUGAUGAAGGCCCUAGGGUUGUAAGACUCUUUUACCAGGGAUGAUAAUGACAGUACCUGGAGAAUAAGCUCCGGCUAACUCCGUGCCAGCAGCCGCGGUAAU